UCAUCUCCGGGGGUAGAGCACUGUUUCGGCAAGGGGGUCAUCCCGACUUACCAACCCGAUGCAAACUGCGAAUACCGGAGAAUGUUAUCACGGGAGACACACGGCGGGUGCUAACGUCCGUCGUGAAGAGGGAAACAACCCAGACCGCCAGCUAAGGUCCCAAAGUCAUGGUUAAGUGGGAAACGAUGUGGGAAGGCCCAGACAGCCAGGAUGUUGGCUUAGAAGCAGCCAUCAUUUAAAGAAAGCGUAAUAGCUCACUGGUCGAGUCGGCCUGCGCGGAAGAUGUAACGGGGCUAAACCAUGCACCGAAGCUGCGGCAGCGACGCUUAUGCGUUGUUGGGUAGGGGAGCGUUCUGUAAGCCUGUGAAGGUGUGCUGUGAGGCAUGCUGGAGGUAUCAGAAGUGCGAAUGCUGACAUAAGUAACGAUAAAGCGGGUGAAAAGCCCGCUCGCCGGAAGACCAAGGGUUCCUGUCCAACGUUAAUCGGGGCAGGGUGAGUCGACCCCUAAGGCGAGGCCGAAAGGCGUAGUCGAUGGGAAACAGGUUAAUAUUCCUGUACUUGGUGUUACUGCGAAGGGGGGACGGAGAAGGCUAUGUUGGCCGGGCGACGGUUGUCCCGGUUUAAGCGUGUAGGCUGGUUUUCCAGGCAAAUCCGGAAAAUCAAGGCUGAGGCGUGAUGACGAGGCACUACGGUGCUGAAGCAACAAAUGCCCUGCUUCCAGGAAAAGCCUCUAAGCAUCAGGUAACAUCAAAUCGUACCCCAAACCGACACAGGUGGUCAGGUAGAGAAUACCAAGGCGCUUGAGAGAACUCGGGUGAAGGAACUAGGCAAAAUGGUGCCGUAACUUCGGGAGAAGGCACGCUGAUAUGUAGGUGAAGUCCCUCGCGGAUGGAGCUGAAAUCAGUCGAAGAUACCAGCUGGCUGCAACUGUUUAUUAAAAACACAGCACUGUGCAAACACGAAAGUGGACGUAUACGGUGUGACGCCUGCCCGGUGCCGGAAGGUUAAUUGAUGGGGUCAGCGCAAGCGAAGCUCUUGAUCGAAGCCCCGGUAAACGGCGGCCGUAACUAUAACGGUCCUAAGGUAGCGAAAUUCCUUGUCGGGUAAGUUCCGACCUGCACGAAUGGCGUAAUGAUGGCCAGGCUGUCUCCACCCGAGACUCAGUGAAAUUGAACUCGCUGUGAAGAUGCAGUGUACCCGCGGCAAGACGGAAAGACCCCGUGAACCUUUACUAUAGCUUGACACUGAACAUUGAGCCUUGAUGUGUAGGAUAGGUGGGAGGCUUUGAAGUGUGGACGCCAGUCUGCAUGGAGCCGACCUUGAAAUACCACCCUUUAAUGUUUGAUGUUCUAACGUUGACCCGUGAUCCGGGUUGCGGACAGUGUCUGGUGGGUAGUUUGACUGGGGCGGUCUCCUCCUAAAGAGUAACGGAGGAGCACGAAGGUUGGCUAAUCCUGGUCGGACAUCAGGAGGUUAGUGCAAUGGCAUAAGCCAGCUUGACUGCGAGCGUGACGGCGCGAGCAGGUGCGAAAGCAGGUCAUAGUGAUCCGGUGGUUCUGAAUGGAAGGGCCAUCGCUCAACGGAUAAAAGGUACUCCGGGGAUAACAGGCUGAUACCGCCCAAGAGUUCAUAUCGACGGCGGUGUUUGGCACCUCGAUGUCGGCUCAUCACAUCCUGGGGCUGAAGUAGGUCCCAAGGGUAUGGCUGUUCGCCAUUUAAAGUGGUACGCGAGCUGGGUUUAGAACGUCGUGAGACAGUUCGGUCCCUAUCUGCCGUGGGCGCUGGAGAACUGAGGGGGGCUGCUCCUAGUACGAGAGGACCGGAGUGGACGCAUCACUGGUGUUCGGGUUGUCAUGCCAAUGGCACUGCCCGGUAGCUAAAUGCGGAAGAGAUAAGUGCUGAAAGCAUCUAAGCACGAAACUUGCCCCGAGAUGAGUUCUCCCUGACCCUUUAAGGGUCCUGAAGGAACGUUGAAGACGACGACGUUGAUAGGCCGGGUGUGUAAGCGCAGCGAUGCGUUGAGCUAACCGGUACUAAUGAACCGUGAGGCUUAACCUU
Molecule: ribosomal RNA, 2058 nt
Filed under: Escherichia coli
Lineage: Bacteria; Pseudomonadati; Pseudomonadota; Gammaproteobacteria; Enterobacterales; Enterobacteriaceae
Description: 23S ribosomal RNA
Rfam family: Bacterial large subunit ribosomal RNA
Source: RNAcentral